GGUUAGUUAGUAGUGUUCUGGUUGAAUGGAUAGUAAGUUAGUAGUGUUCUGGUUGAAUGGAUGCUUAGUUAGUAGAGUUCUGAUUGAAUGGAUGGGUAGUUAGUAGUAUUCUGGUUGAAUGGAUGGUUAGUUAGUAAUGUUCUGGUUGAAUGGAUAGUUAGUUAGUAGUGUUCUGGUUGAAUGGAUGGUUAGUUAGUAGUGUUCUGAUUGAAAUGAUGGGUAGUUAGUAGUAUUCUGGUUGAAUGGAUGGUUGGUUAGUUAUGUUCUGGUUGAAUGGAUGGUUAGUUAGUAGUGUUCUGAUUGAAUGGAUGGGUAGUUAGUAGUAUUCUGGUUGAAUGGAUGGUUAGUUGGUAAUGUUGUGGUUGAAUGGAUGGUUAGUUAGUGGUGUUCUGGUUGAAUGGAUGGUUACUAGUGUUCUGGUUGAAUGGAUGGUUAGUUAGUGGUGUUCUGGUUGUGUUCUUGUUGAAUGGAUGGUUAGUUAGUAGUGUUCUGGUUGAAUGGAUGGUUACUAGUGUUCUGGUUGAAUGGAUAGUUAGUUAGUGGAGUUCUGGUUGAAUUGAUGGUUAGUUAGUGGUGUUCUGGUUGUCUUCUGGUUGAAUGGAUGGUUAGUUAGUGGAGUUCUGGUUGAAUUGAUGGUUAGUUAGUGGUGUUCUGGUUGUGUUCUGGUUGAUUGGAUGGUUAGUUAGUGGUGUUCUGGUUGAAUGGAUGGUUAGUUAGUGGUGCUCUGGUUGAAUGGAUGGUUAGUUAUUGGUGUUUUGGAUGAUUAGUUAGUGGUGUUCUGGUUGAAUGGAUGGUUAGUUAGUGGUGUUUUGGAUGAUUAGUUAGUGGUGUUCUGGUUGAAUGGAUGGUUAGUUAGUGGUGUUUUGGAUGAUUAGUUAGUGGUGUUCUGAUUAAAUGGAUGGUUAGGUAGUGGUGUUCUGAUUUAAUGGAUGGUUUGUUGGUAGUGCUCUGGUUGAGGUCUGGUUCUGUGGAUGGAGGGUGUACACGGAGAAGAAGUUGGAGCUCUCUGGCGUUACCUUCCUGUGUUCAGUUCAGUCAACACAUCCAGGGUCAGGUGAAGGAAGGGUGUGGUGUUGAGAUGAGUUGCCCUUCAGAUGGUCAAACAGACCAGUGGAGGAUGGGAAGAAAGAGAGAAGUGAGAGAGGAGUGAAAUGGUAGAGGACAGUGGAUGGACCCCUGAGAUGGAAACACAGUGAAAUAUUUACAUUACCCAGAGAGAAGAAAAGGCACUGCGGCCUCCCACUCUCUCUCCCCCUCCCCUCCUUCAUCCCUCCAUUCUCCCCACCUCAUCACAUGUGUGCUGUAUGCCGCGGUAUAAUCAACAUGCACUCACUUAAGUGGCUAUAGGCUAUGUAACAUCAGCCAACAGGGUUUUAGUAAGUGCUGCUGGUGUGUGUGUGUGUGUGUGUGUGUGUGUGUAUGGGCCCAGCUCGCUGCUGUGGUUGGUGAUGGAAGAUCAUGUUUCUCUCCUCCACCUCACACUCCUCUCCUCUCUUAUUCACACUCCAGUGGGACUGUGGAUGUCACAUUCUACUUCACACUCUGCACUAUCCUGCUUACACCAUACACACACACACUGGCAUGUGCACACUAACAUGCACACUGGCAUAACACCUUUCAUUUCAUUCUCUGUGCAUGCACAAAUACAC
This 1649-nucleotide long non-coding RNA is filed under the name Salmo salar (Atlantic salmon). RNAcentral's name for it is "lncRNA (ENSSSAG00000107816.1)". The record is from RNAcentral. Lineage: Eukaryota; Metazoa; Chordata; Actinopteri; Salmoniformes; Salmonidae.